GGGUCAGUAGGUUGGUCGUGCCACCGGUACGUACUGGUCUCACUGGUUCCUCCUUCCUGAAGGGCCGUAAUGCCAUUAAUUUGGUGUUGCGGGGAAACAGGACUGUUACUUUGAAAAAAUUAGAGUGUUUAAAGCAAGCUAACGCUUGAAUACAUUAGCAUGGAAUAAUGAAAUAGGACGAUCGAUCCUAUUUUGUUGGUUUCUAGGAUUGACGUA
Molecule: ribosomal RNA, 216 nt
Filed under: Glomeromycotina sp.
Lineage: Eukaryota; Fungi; Glomeromycota
Description: partial small subunit ribosomal RNA
Rfam family: Eukaryotic small subunit ribosomal RNA (bases 75-216)
Source: RNAcentral